GAUGAAGAACGUAGCGAAAUGCGAUAAGUAAUGUGAAUUGCAGAAUUCAGUGAAUCAUCGAAUCUUUGAACGCACAUUGCGCCCGCCAGUAUUCUGGCGGGCAUGCCUGUUCGAGCGUCAUUUCAACCAUCAAGCCCCCGGCUUGUGUUGGGGACCUGCGGCUGCCGCAGGCCCUGAAAAGCAGUGGCGGGCUCGCUGUCACACCGAGCGUAGUAGCAUACAUCUCGCUCUGGGCGUGCUGCGGGUUCCGGCCGUUAAACCACCUUCAUAACCCAAGGUUGACCUCGGAUCAGGUAGGAAGACCCGCUGGACUUAAGCAUAUCAAUAAGCGGAGGA
RNAcentral lists this unclassified non-coding RNA (336 nucleotides) under soil metagenome. RNAcentral describes it as "partial contains 5.8S ribosomal RNA, internal transcribed spacer 2, and large subunit ribosomal RNA". The stretch from base 1 to 120 matches the Rfam family "5.8S ribosomal RNA", at positions 35 to 154 of the family's 154-position model. The record is from RNAcentral.